UACGGGGGGAGCAAGCGUUGUUCGGAAUCACUGGGCGUAAAGGGAGUCUAGGCGGUUUGGUAAGUGGGAUGUGAAAUCCCCGGGCUCACCCCGGGACCUGCAUCCCAAACUGCUGAGCUUGAGUACAGGAGAGGGUGGGGGAAUUCCAGGUGUAGCGGUGAAAUGCGUAGAUAUCGUUUGGAACGCCAAUGGUGAAAACAGGUUGCUGGGAGUGUGCUGACGCUGAGACACGAAAGCCAGGGGAGCGAACGGG
RNAcentral lists this ribosomal RNA (253 nucleotides) under uncultured bacterium. RNAcentral's name for it is "partial 16S ribosomal RNA". It matches the Rfam family "Bacterial small subunit ribosomal RNA", at positions 524 to 776 of the family's 1533-position model. The record is from RNAcentral.